GCGGAGACGCAAGUUUCCGUUCACUCCUCACACCACAUUCCGCCUGAGCUUAUGAGCAGCAAAGGCGGUU
Molecule: non-coding RNA, 70 nt
Organism: Pseudanabaena biceps PCC 7429
Lineage: Bacteria; Bacillati; Cyanobacteriota; Cyanophyceae; Pseudanabaenales; Pseudanabaenaceae
Source: Rfam